AUUGAACGCUGGCGGCAUGCUUUACACAUGCAAGUCGAACGGUAACAGGCCGCAAGGUGCUGACGAGUGGCGAACGGGUGAGUAAUGCAUCGGAACGUGCCCAGUCGUGGUGGAUAACUACUCGAAAGAGUAGCUAAUACCUCAUACGAUCUAUGGAUGAAAGCGGGGGACCGUAAGGCCUCGCGCGAUUGGAGCGGCCGAUGUCAGAUUAGGUAGUUGGUGGGGUAAAGGCUCACCAAGCCAACGAUCUGUAGCUGGUCUGAGAGGACGACCAGCCACACUGGGACUGAGACACGGCCCAGACUCCUACGGGAGGCAGCAGUGGGGAAUUUUGGACAAUGGGCGCAAGCCUGAUCCAGCAAUGCCACGUGCAGGAAGAAGGCCUUCGGGUUGUAAACUGCUUUUGUACGGAACGAAACGGCUCUGGUUAAUACCCGGGGCUAAUGACGGUACCGUAAGAAUAAGCACCGGCUAACUACGUG
This 482-nucleotide ribosomal RNA is filed under the name uncultured bacterium. Its description in RNAcentral is "partial 16S ribosomal RNA". It matches the Rfam family "Bacterial small subunit ribosomal RNA", at positions 30 to 507 of the family's 1533-position model. The record is from RNAcentral.